RNAcentral lists this long non-coding RNA (1980 nucleotides) under Daucus carota (carrot). RNAcentral describes it as "long non-coding RNA (DCAR_LNC002786)". The record is from RNAcentral. Lineage: Eukaryota; Viridiplantae; Streptophyta; Magnoliopsida; Apiales; Apiaceae.
GUACAUGUUGGUAUACUUUGUGCUCAUGUAAUGGUGGCAUUAAGGCCUACAAUUUCUGAAGCACUGAAGAUGUUAGAAGGUGAUAUAGAAGUUCCAACACUGCCUGAUAGACCACUACCUCUUAGCCACGAGUCAUUGAAAUAUAUCCCAGAGUUCAGUAUAUCAACAUUGGGCAUCUCAGGUGGAAGAUCAAGCCUUGAUACAUCAGGUAGCAGAUUAAGUAUCGAUACAUCGAAACCCAGGUCUAGCAUUUAGUUAGCUGCUUGGACAAUGAUUUUUAUUGAGGCCAACAGAUAUUUCCUAAGCAGAAGCUUAAACAUUCAGUUAUAGAAAGUAAACGGAUUUGCUUCAAUGCAUAAUGCUUGCGUUUCUUGUUUGUUUAUCAUUUUAUUUGAAUGAUGUUUGUUUACCAUUUCAAGCAGACUGUGUAGGGUGUUUUUGAAUUAUAAAGUUUACAGGUAUUCAGCCUAUAUUUUAAAAGACUCUGUGAUGCUUCUUGCGUAGCAGGUUCUGAUAUUAGUUAUUCCGGUAUAUUGGUUGCUUGUAAAUCUUCUUUGAAAGUAAUGUAGGAAAGAACUGUAGCUAGAGGAGGUCAAGGCAAAGAAGAGUUGAAAGAGAAUUUGAAGAUAGAGAAGAAAGUCUGAAAAAUCAGAUUUAACUCAGGUAAAAUAAUCGAUAUUAUUGAGUUCUCCUCAAAUAUGAUGAAGACUUUUAGCUUAAAAUGGAUUCUGGAAAUUUAAUUGAGCAUUACCAAGAAACUUGCUGGCCUUGCGCAUUGUGCCCUUGUAAGUUGAAUGGAAUUCGAUUUACAGCUGUCAAGAUAAACAUCCUCGGAGGGAGAAGAUGCUUAACUUUCACAACAUCAGUUCUUUAAGCAUCAGCAUCAAGUUUUUUAGAACUUAGUACGGAUGAAACUAGUGAUUCACCCAUGUAUUGGAAGCCUAUAUUUCAGUCAAACAGCUCAUACAAGAUCUUCUGGAUCAAUAAGGACCUGUAAACAAUGGCAAUCUUCUGCACACUAGUACUAGACAUUGCAACCUUCCAUAAAGUUCCAUAAAUAUAGUUUAACCGUCUUUUCACGAGAAUCGGCGGUUACAAUUUACUAUAUGUUCGACUCAAUCAUUGGGGUAAAUAUAGUAAGACUUUUUAUUACUCUCUCCGUCCCAAAUUAACUGUCCAGUUUGACUUUUUGAUGAUCAAUUUGACCCAACUUUGACUGAAAAUUAGAAAUNUAGAUGAGCAUCUGUUUUAUGAAGAAGGGAAUACUAUUGCUAGGAAGCCAUUGGAUUGGCCUUUGCGCAAAAAUAUCAUUAUAGAUGUGGCCAAAGGGCUGGCUUAUUUGCACUAUGGAAUCAAACCAGCCAUUUAUCACCGCGACAUAAAGACCACAAACAUACUUUUAGAUUCAGAUAUGAAAGCAAGACUAGCUGAUUUUGGUCUAGCAAAGCAAACUACUGAAGGGGAAUCUCAUCUAACAACGAAAGUAGCUGGCACAUACGGGUACCUAGCUCCAGAGUAUGCUCUUUAUGGUCAACUAACCGAAAAGAGUGAUGUCUAUAGCUUUGGCAUCAUAAUUCUUGAGAUCAUGAGUGGGCGAAAAGUGCUUGACACAUCUUCAACAUCCACAAGACUUCUGAUCACGGAUUGGGCAAUGGAUCUUGUAAAAUCAGGAAAUGUUGAAAACAUUUUCGAUGAUCGAAUGGGAGAAAAUGUAUCAAAAGCAGUAAUGGAAAGAUUUGUACAUGUUGGUAUACUUUGUGCUCAUGUAAUGGUGGCAUUAAGGCCUACAAUUUCUGAAGCACUGAAGAUGUUAGAAGGUGAUAUAGAAGUUCCAACACUGCCUGAUAGACCACUACCUCUUAGCCACGAGUCAUUGAAAUAUAUCCCAGAGUUCAGUAUAUCAACAUUGGGCAUCUCAGGUGGAAGAUCAAGCCUUGAUACAUCAGGUAGCAGAUUAAGUAUCGAUACAUCGAAACCCAG